This 833-nucleotide long non-coding RNA is filed under the name Homo sapiens (human). RNAcentral's name for it is "HSALNT0059665". The record is from RNAcentral. Lineage: Eukaryota; Metazoa; Chordata; Mammalia; Primates; Hominidae.
CACCAGCGACUGGAACCAGCAACUCUGUCAGGGAUUGUAGGAUUUAUCCUUAGUCUUUUAUGUGGAGCUCUGAAUUUAAUUCGAGGCUUUCAUGCUAUAGAAAGUCUCCUGCAGAGUGAUGGUGAUGAUUUUAAUUACAUCAUUGCAUUUUUCCUUGGAACAGCAGCCUGCCUUUACCAGUGUUAUUUACUUGUCUACUACACCGGCUGGCGGAAUGUCAAAUCUUUUUUGACUUUUGGCUUAAUCUGUCUAUGCAACAUGUAUCUCUAUGAACUGCGCAACCUCUGGCAGCUUUUCUUUCAUGUGACUGUGGGAGCAUUUGUUACACUACAGAUCUGGCUAAGGCAAGCCCAGGGCAAGGCUCCCGAUUAUGAUGUCUGACACCAUCCUUCAGAUCUAUUGCCUUGGCUUCAGGGGGAUAAGGAGGGAACAUAUCAUAACUGCACUGUGAUGAAGAAGCUGUUCCCCACAGAGGAGAAGCUCUGCUUUCUUUCUCUCCAACUUUCCUUUUUUAAAAUCAGCAUGAUGUGCCUGUGAGCAUGGAAGAGUCCUCUCAGAAGAAUGUUGGCCAUGAGACUAUCAUUCAGAGGAGGAGGGGAUUUCUCUCUUCAAGGCCGUAACAGUGGAAGAACAGUCAUAUGCCAUUGGAAGUCUUGGCCAGCAGUCCUGAAUCCUUCCUGAAGAGUUCAGAAAAUAGAUGUGGUAUUGCUCUGAGGACCAGGCAGGAGGAACUCUACAACCUGAGUUUGCCUUUGUGAGGCAUUAGUAUAGACCAAAUAAAAAGCUGCAGAAAUUGGAAAGUUUAUGUUUUAAAUAAAUGACUGUGAUAAAUA